This 70-nucleotide transfer RNA is filed under the name Camelus bactrianus (Bactrian camel). It matches the Rfam family "tRNA". From Rfam's summary of the family: Transfer RNA (tRNA) molecules are approximately 80 nucleotides in length. RNAcentral also lists the same sequence under 2 other names. Lineage: Eukaryota; Metazoa; Chordata; Mammalia; Artiodactyla; Camelidae. The record is from Rfam by way of RNAcentral.
GGAUAUACCUCAGUGGUCGAGUGCAUGCUUAGCGUGCAUGAGGUCCUGGGUUCAAUCUCCAGUACUUCCA